Molecule: ribosomal RNA, 472 nt
Filed under: uncultured Methanosaeta sp.
Lineage: Archaea; Methanobacteriati; Methanobacteriota; Methanomicrobia; Methanotrichales; Methanotrichaceae
Description: bacterial SSU rRNA
Rfam family: Archaeal small subunit ribosomal RNA
Source: RNAcentral
GACGGGGGAGGCACUACAACAGGUGGAGCCUGCGGUUUAAUUGGAUUCAACGCCGGAAAUCUCACCGGGGCGACAGCAAUAUGAAGGUCAGGCUGAAGACCUUACCCGAUUAGCUGAGAGGUGGUGCAUGGCCGUCGUCAGUUCGUACUGUGAAGCAUCCUGUUAAGUCAGGCAACGAGCGAGACCCACGUCCACAGUUGCCAGCAUACCCUCCGGGGUGAUGGGUACACUGUGGAGACCGCCGCUGCUAAAGCGGAGGAAGGAGUGGGCAACGGUAGGUCAGUAUGCCCCGAAUCUCCCGGGCUACACGCGGGCUACAAUGGUUGGUACAAUGGGCAUCUACCCCGAAAGGGGAAGGAAAUCUCUUAAAGCCAAUCGUAGUUCGGAUUGAGGGCUGCAACUCGCCCUCAUGAAGCUGGAAUCCGUAGUAAUCGCGUUUCAACAGAACGCGGUGAAUACGUCCCUGCUCCUU